RNAcentral lists this ribosomal RNA (423 nucleotides) under uncultured bacterium. RNAcentral describes it as "bacterial SSU rRNA". It matches the Rfam family "Bacterial small subunit ribosomal RNA", at positions 355 to 775 of the family's 1533-position model. The record is from RNAcentral.
UGAGGAAUAUUGGUCAAUGGGCGGAAGCCUGAACCAGCCAUGCCGCGUGCAGGACGACGGCCCUACGGGUUGUAAACUGCUUUUCCGGGGGAAGAAUAACCCCCCUGCGGGGGGGGAUGCCGGUACCCCGGGAAUAAGGAUCGGCUAACUCCGUGCCAGCAGCCGCGGUAAUACGGAGGAUCCUAGCGUUAUCCGGAUUUACUGGGUUUAAAGGGUGCGUAGGCGGACCCCUAAGUCCGCGGUGAAAGUCUGCGGCUCAACCGUAGGAUUGCCGUGGAUACUGGGGGUCUUGGAUUCGGUCGGGGCGGGCGGAAUGCGUGGUGUAGCGGUGAAAUGCAUAGAUAUCACGCAGAACGCCGAUAGCGAAGGCAGCUCGCCGGGCCGAUAUUGACGCUGAGGCACGAAAGCGUGGGGAUCGAACAG